AGAACUUGUAGGAUCGAGGCCUACUCAUCUAG
Molecule: transfer RNA, 32 nt
Filed under: Fundulus cingulatus (banded topminnow)
Lineage: Eukaryota; Metazoa; Chordata; Actinopteri; Cyprinodontiformes; Fundulidae
Description: partial tRNA-Asn
Source: RNAcentral